GGUCGCAUAGCUCAGCUGGAUAGAGCAACUGCCUUCUAAGCAGUAGGUCUUUGGUUCGAACCCAAAUGCGAUCA
Molecule: transfer RNA, 74 nt
Filed under: Mucilaginibacter polytrichastri
Lineage: Bacteria; Pseudomonadati; Bacteroidota; Sphingobacteriia; Sphingobacteriales; Sphingobacteriaceae
Description: tRNA-Arg
Rfam family: tRNA
About the family: Transfer RNA (tRNA) molecules are approximately 80 nucleotides in length.
Source: RNAcentral